UAUACUGUGAAACUGCGAAUGGCUCAUUAAAUCAGUUAUCGUUUAUUUGAUAGUACCUUACUACUUGGAUAACCGUGGUAAUUCUAGAGCUAAUACAUGCUAAAAACCUCGACUUCGGAAGGGGUGUAUUUAUUAGAUAAAAAACCAAUGCCCUUCGGGGCUCCUUGGUGAUUCAUAAUAACUUAACGAAUCGCAUGGCCUUGUGCCGGCGAUGGUUCAUUCAAAUUUCUGCCCUAUCAACUUUCGAUGGUAGGAUAGUGGCCUACCAUGGUUUCAACGGGUAACGGGGAAUUAGGGUUCUAUUCCGGAGAGGGAGCCUGAGAAACGGCUACCACAUCCAAGGAAGGCAGCAGGCGCGCAAAUUACCCAAUCCCGACACGGGGAGGUAGUGACAAUAAAUACUGAUACAGGGCUCUUUUGGGUCUUGUAAUUGGAAUGAGUACAAUUUAAAUCCCUUAACGAGGAACAAUUGGAGGGCAAGUCUGGUGCCAGCAGCCGCGGUAAUUCCAGCUCCAAUAGCGUAUAUUAAAGUUGUUGCAGUUAAAAAGCUCGUAGUUGAACCUUGGGCCUGGCUGGCCGGUCCGCCUCACCGCGUGCACUGGUCUGGCCGGGUCUUUCCUUCUGGGGAGCCGCAUGCCCUUCACUGGGUGUGUCGGGGAACCAGGACUUUUACUUUGAAAAAAUUAGAGUGUUCAAAGCAGGCCUAUGCUCGAAUACAUUAGCAUGGAAUAAUAGAAUAGGACGUGUGGUUCUAUUUUGUUGGUUUCUAGGACCGCCGUAAUGAUUAAUAGGGAUAGUCGGGGGCAUCAGUAUUCAAUUGUCAGAGGUGAAAUUCUUGGAUUUAUUGAAGACUAACUACUGCGAAAGCAUUUGCCAAGGAUGUUUUCAUUAAUCAGUGAACGAAAGUUAGGGGAUCGAAGACGAUCAGAUACCGUCGUAGUCUUAACCAUAAACUAUGCCGACUAGGGAUCGGGCGAUGUUAUCUUUUUGACUCGCUCGGCACCUUACGAGAAAUCAAAGUCUUUGGGUUCU
This 1032-nucleotide ribosomal RNA is filed under the name Darkera parca. RNAcentral's name for it is "SSU rRNA". It matches the Rfam family "Eukaryotic small subunit ribosomal RNA", at positions 75 to 1115 of the family's 1831-position model. The record is from RNAcentral. Lineage: Eukaryota; Fungi; Ascomycota; Leotiomycetes; Phacidiales; Phacidiaceae.